UGAAAUAGCUCAGUAGGUAGAGCAAUUCACUCGUAAUGAAUAGGUCACAGGUUCGAUUCCUGUUUUCAGC
This 70-nucleotide transfer RNA is filed under the name human gut metagenome. It matches the Rfam family "tRNA". From Rfam's summary of the family: Transfer RNA (tRNA) molecules are approximately 80 nucleotides in length. Their secondary structure includes four short double-helical elements and three loops (D, anti-codon, and T loops). The record is from RNAcentral.